CCUACGGGUGGCUGCAGUGGGGAAUAUUGGACAAUGGGGGAAACCCUGAUCCAGCAAUGCCGCGUGGGUGAUGAAGGUCUUCGGAUUGUAAAGCCCUUUUGGCAGGGACGAUGAUGACGGUACCUGCAGAAUAAGCUCCGGCUAACUUCGUGCCAGCAGCCGCGGUAAUACGAAGGGAGCAAGCGUUGUUCGGAUUUACUGGGCGUAAAGGGCGCGUAGGCGGUUUGACAAGUUGGAAGUGAAAGCCCCGGGCUUAACUCGGGAAUAGCUUUCAAGACUGUCAGACUCGAGUGUGGAAGAGGUUGGUGGAAUUCCCAGUGUAGAGGUGAAAUUCGUAGAUAUUGGGAAGAACAUCCGUGGCGAAGGCGGCCAACUGGUCCAUAACUGACGCUGAGGCGCGAAAGCGUGGGGAGCAAACAGGAUUAGAUACCCCAGUAGUC
This 440-nucleotide ribosomal RNA is filed under the name uncultured bacterium. Its description in RNAcentral is "bacterial SSU rRNA". It matches the Rfam family "Bacterial small subunit ribosomal RNA", at positions 338 to 795 of the family's 1533-position model. The record is from RNAcentral.